UGCUCCUUCUUAUGAGCUAAACCCAUCAGUA
Molecule: non-coding RNA, 31 nt
Filed under: Macaca fascicularis (crab-eating macaque)
Lineage: Eukaryota; Metazoa; Chordata; Mammalia; Primates; Cercopithecidae
Also listed under: 1 other name
Source: RNAcentral